AUGGUGGAAGAUCACGCAGUGCUACGGACCACCCCACGUGGAGGCCGCUGCUCCCUCCUCUGCACUGUUAGAACUAUUCCCUGGGUAAAAUCCUUCCAUCCAUCCAGAUUCCUUGGAACACAUCUAUGUAUAUCCAUACUCAUUUAUGUCGCCACUGGAAUGAUGUCUCUACCAAUAUGAUCCAGUCUGAAGUUUCAUAAGUGGACAAUCAGUG
This 214-nucleotide long non-coding RNA is filed under the name Oryctolagus cuniculus (rabbit). RNAcentral's name for it is "lncRNA (ENSOCUG00000034714.1)". The record is from RNAcentral. Lineage: Eukaryota; Metazoa; Chordata; Mammalia; Lagomorpha; Leporidae.